AUGAACUGAAAAUAUCUAAGUGACAAGCUGAGCCAAUGCAAGCUAUGUUCUCCCUAGACAUUAUGACUCUCUGGAUGACCUUGUUUUCACAAUGCCCUGGUAACAGAAGAUGACUGUACCCUUCCCAAAACUCUUGCACUUUGAAUAAAAGGAACCACAUCAACAGAGCUCCAGUUACAAGUGUGGAUACCUGCUAAUCAACGAACAGAGGUAGAAAAUCUUUUAUCAUUACCUGCCAUCAAGUGGGUUCUUUUACCG
Non-coding RNA from Pelodiscus sinensis (Chinese soft-shelled turtle), 258 nucleotides. The record is from RefSeq and is a predicted model, not a curated record. Lineage: Eukaryota; Metazoa; Chordata; Testudines; Trionychidae.